GACGAACGCUAGCUACAGGCUUAACACAUGCAAGUCGAGGGGCAGCGCAGUGUAGCAAUACAUGGGCGGCGACCGGCGCACGGGUGCGUAACGCGUAUCCAACCUUCCCGUUACUCAGGGAUAGCCUUCCGAAAGGGAGAUUAAUACCUGAUGGUGUUCAAAUUCCGCAUGUUAUUUGAACUAAAGAUUUAUCGGUAACGGAUGGGGAUGCGUGACAUUAGGUAGAUGGCGGGGUAACGGCCCACCAUGCCUACGAUGUCUAGGGGUUCUGAGAGGAAGGUCCCCCACACUGGAACUGAGACACGGUCCAGACUCCUACGGGAGGCAGCAGUGAGGAAUAUUGGUCAAUGGUCGGAAGACUGAACCAGCCAUGCCGCGUGAAGGUCACGGCCCUAUGGGUCUUAAACUUCUUUUGUAAGGGAGCAAAUAAGGUUCACGUGUGGACUGAUGAGAGUACCUUACGAAUAAGCAUCGGCUAACUCCGUGCCAGCAGCC
RNAcentral lists this ribosomal RNA (495 nucleotides) under uncultured bacterium. Its description in RNAcentral is "bacterial SSU rRNA". It matches the Rfam family "Bacterial small subunit ribosomal RNA", at positions 28 to 516 of the family's 1533-position model. The record is from RNAcentral.